GGCAUCAGUAUUCAAUUGUCAGAGGUGAAAUUCUUGGAUUUAUUGAAGACUAACUACUGCGAAAGCAUUUGCCAAGGAUGUUUUCAUUAAUCAGGAACGAAAGUUAGGGGAUCGAAGACGAUCAGAUACCGUCGUAGUCUUAACCAUAAACUAUGCCGACUAGGGAUCGGACGGUGUUAUUUUUUGACCCGUUCGGCACCUUACGAGAAAUCAAAGUGCUUGGGCUCCAGGGGGAGUAUGGUCGCAAGGCUGAAACUUAAAGAAAUUGACGGAAGGGCACCACCAGGGGUGGAGCCUGCGGCUUAAUUUGACUCAACACGGGGAAACUCACCAGGUCCAGACACAAUGAGGAUUGACAGAUUGAGAGCUCUUUCUUGAUUUUGUGGGUGGUGGUGCAUGGCCGUUCUUAGUUGGUGGAGUGAUUUGUC
Molecule: ribosomal RNA, 428 nt
Filed under: Plectosphaerella sp.
Lineage: Eukaryota; Fungi; Ascomycota; Sordariomycetes; Glomerellales; Plectosphaerellaceae
Description: SSU rRNA
Rfam family: Eukaryotic small subunit ribosomal RNA
Source: RNAcentral